GCGUGCUUAACACAUGCAAGUCGAGCGAUGAAGUUUCCUUCGGGAAACGGAUUAGCGGCGGACGGGUGAGUAACACGUGGGUAACCUGCCUCAUAGAGUGGAAUAGCCUUCCGAAAGGAAGAUUAAUACCGCAUAACGUUGAAAGAUGGCAUCAUCAUUUAACCAAAGGAGCAAUCCGCUAUGAGAUGGACCCGCGGCGCAUUAGCUAGUUGGUGGGGUAACGGCCUACCAAGGCGACGAUGCGUAGCCGACCUGAGAGGGUGAUCGGCCACAUUGGGACUGAGACACGGCCCAGACUCCUACGGGAGGCAGCAGUGGGGAAUAUUGCACAAUGGGGGAAACCCUGAUGCAGCAACGCCGCGUGAGUGAUGAAGGUUUUCGGAUCGUAAAGCUCUGUCUUUGGGGAAGAUAAUGACGGUACCCAAGGAGGAAGCCACGGCUAACUACGUGCCAGCAGCCGCGGUAAUACGUAGGUGGCGAGCGUUAUCCGGAUUUACUGGGCGUAAAGGGAGCGUAGGCGGAUGAUUAAGUGGGAUGUGAAAUACCCGGGCUCAACUUGGGUGCUGCAUUCCAAACUGGUUAUCUAGAGUGCAGGAGAGGAGAGUGGAAUUCCUAGUGUAGCGGUGAAAUGCGUAGAGAUUAGGAAGAACACCAGUGGCGAAGGCGACUCUCUGGACUGUAACUGACGCUGAGGCUCGAAAGCGUGGGGAGCAAACAGGAUUAGAUACCCCGGUAGUCCACGCCGUAAACGAUGAAUACUAGGUGUGGGGGUUUCAACACCUCCGUGCCGCCGCUAACGCAUUAAGUAUUCCGCCUGGGGAGUACGGUCGCAAGAUUAAAACUCAAAGGAAUUGACGGGGACCCGCACAAGUAGCGGAGCAUGUGGUUUAAUUCGAAGCAACGCGAAGAACCUUACCUACACUUGACAUCCCUUGCAUUACUCUUAAUCGAGGAAAUCCCUUCGGGGACAAGGUGACAGGUGGUACAUGGUUGUCGUCAGCUCGUGUCGUGAGAUGUUGGGUUAAGUCCCGCAACGAGCGCAACCCUUGUCGUUAGUUACUACCAUUAAGUUGAGGACUCUAGCGAGACUGCCUGGGUUAACCAGGAGGAAGGUGGGGAUGACGUCAAAUCAUCAUGCCCCUUAUGUGUAGGGCUACACACGUGCUACAAUGGCUGGUACAGAGAGAUGCAAUACCGUGAGGUGGAGCCAAACUUUAAAACCAGUCUCAGUUCGGAUUGUAGGCUGAAACUCGCCUACAUGAAGCUGGAGUUACUAGUAAUCGCGAAUCAGAAUGUCGCGGUGAAUACGUUCCCGGGUCUUGUACACACCGCCCGUCACACCAUGAGAGUUGGCAAUACCCGAAGUCCGUGAGCUAACCGCAAGGAGGCAGCGGCCGAAGGUAGGGUCAGCGAUUGGGGUG
RNAcentral lists this ribosomal RNA (1421 nucleotides) under uncultured organism. RNAcentral's name for it is "16S ribosomal RNA". It matches the Rfam family "Bacterial small subunit ribosomal RNA". The record is from RNAcentral.